UCAGACGAGGAGGGAAGAGAGAGGUUGGAGAGGGAGAGGGAAAGAGGGAGACAAAGGAAGUGAGUGCAAGAGAGGAGCCGGCUCAGCAUCCGAACUAUAUGUGGUGAGCAUUCCCCGCCCGGCCCAGGGCAUGCCCCAGUUCACUUUCGCCUGUUUCUGUGGUCUUCACGGCUUCUGCAAGAUGAAGAGGAGGAAGGAAGACGCUCACAGAGAGCGGGAAACAGCGGUGUGAGCAGAACCAGGUCCCCCUUGUCAGCUCCCAGUGGAUCCAGGCCUGAGGCUGCUCACUGCUGUGAAGCUCAGUGCAAUGUCUUCCGGCUUCGUUUAACGAGCAUCUGACUAACAUGAGGGCAUCUGAGCCUUCUUGUGCCCACUCCCAUUGGCUUCCAAUCCUCUGUGCUCCUGGAGAGAGGCCUCAGCUACACAAGGGAUUUCCAGGACCAGCCACUUGCCUUCACACUGGGCAGCCGGGGACCAAGGAAUGAGGUUCCCAGGCUCCUCUCAGGGUUACUCCUCCCAGGAAGCUAAUGUGGCCUUGGGAGAGGAAAGUAGCUGUUCUUGAGAACCUUGGAGGGUUUGACACCACCUCCAGGGACAAGAUGGAGUCUCUCUGGGGCCCCAGUGUCUCAGUCCCCUCCCUGAAUCCUUUUGGGCCAGGUGAGCCAGGACUGAGAUUGGAGGCCAAAGUUAGACAUUUGAGGGGCCAGGCUGUGGAUGACUCUUCUGUGUGUCACAGGUCUGUCUUCCCUCAGUUCUGGCACUGGCCCACCAGUUCCUCACUUCUUAGGCAGCACACAGACGUGGGGAGGCCUUUCCCCAGGCACUAAGCCCCUCAGGGACUGUCCCUCAGAUCUAGGCUGAACCCCGCCCAUUUUGUUCAUCCAUCUCCUGCUCAUCGCCCCCUCUCCUUGGGAAGCUGGAGAGGGCAUAGCAUUGGCAUGCAACACCUUCAGAGGGCACUUGGUCGGGGAAACCUAGGGUUGUCCUUGACUCUUCCCAACCCAUUGUCAGCCUCCUGCUUCAGGAUCUUGUUCCCCACACCCAUUUCUAGGAGUGCAGAAACAAAAGAAAAGGCCUUUCCUCUCCUCUCUCUCCUUCCUCCCCUGGCCUUGUCAUCUCCCUGGUGCUAGAGAGAGAGCUGGGAAUUAAGAAGGAAGUCUAGGACGUCUAGCAAUAGAGAGAGUUUAUGCAGCUUCUAGUCUGCUGGCUUGCCACUCUCCUCAUGAGAACAGUUCACUAUGGAAAGGAGUCACAGUCCCAUCCCAUGGGAACAGAACAGAUAACCCUGGCAGGAAGGUCAGGGUCCAAGAUGAAGGAAGGCCUGAACUCAAUGAGGGCCUCUCUGAGCAAGGGACACUCCAGCAAGGCGUGUUUCUUGGGCUUUCUGCAUGAUUACUGGUAGUGUUGGUAGAGCUUGAGUACAGCCAAGCUUCUCUGUCCUCCAUUGGCUGUUCUCUUCCUUCCCACCUGAGCCACCUACUGUCUGCUAUUUUCUUUUAUAUUCAAAGAAUCCUAAACACAUCCUUCGCUCAGGGAAAAAACAGCAAGCAUCUUCAGCAAAGACCAGUGGGGUCACAAGGAACAAAGCAAACUUUACAGUUUCCUCUUACACAGUGGUGUCCUUGGGUGAGGCGGAGAUGGCAGAAAAGUUUUCGGGGUGUAUUUUGAGACUGAAGCCAGAGGUUCCCUCCCAGGGGGAGGCUAGCUGCGGCCUGCUUUCCAGACUGCAAUCAGAGAAGUCUCUCUGGAACCGGAGGAUGAAAUCAUAUCCCAAACACUAAGAGCCGUUAGGUGUUAUGUCCCAACCACAUAGGCUCGCCCAGAGGACAGGUCAGAGAAUGGAGAACUUAAGUCUGGGAAGGGCAAUAGGGGGGCAGUUCUCUUGUGCUCACUUCACAGCCCUUGGCAGGGACACAGCCACAGGGACUGGCAGAGCUGCUUAUCCCACAAGAGUGCCCUUGGUGUAGGAGAGACACUGGAUAUCUCAAGCCCUUACCAUAGGGACCUGGGAGGUUCAAGGUUCUUGGGACACCCCCGCCGCUUGCAGAUAGCUACCCUUGAACCCUUCAUCCUAGGUGAGGUGUAGCCACCCCGCAGUAGACAUGACCUGAGCAGGAGGCAACACUAGCAUCUAGCAAAUGUACACUUAUUAUUUUGACUGUUUUCUCAGGGAGAUAGGGACUCGGUCCUGCUCAGCAUCUGGGAAGCAGCCAGAAACCUGCUCCCAAUUCAGCUUCUGCCUGGUUUCAGUCAAUUUUAAAGUUCCUUCAUUCUGCCUGAGAGAAAGGCCAGCCCAUGGGUCUUUUUAGACUCUACUGAGGUGGCCCUCUGCUCUUAGGGUGAGGCAGGUAUACAGCCUUCCAUUACUACAGCCUGGCACUCGUCUUCCCUAGAGCGUGGGCUCUGCGUGCCCCACUUGAACACGAUCCCACCUCUCAGGCUAAGGAACUAGUCUGUGGAGAGUAGUGUAUAAAUGACUGCUGGGGUUCUUGGGACUUGAAUAUCCUCUAUGGCCCUGGCCCAGGACCCCCAAGAGCUUCUUGUCUUAGGUUCAAAAUAGUUAAUUAGAAUGCUAUUUCUUUUCUCCGCUCCUAAGGGAGGAAGGCAUUUUGAAUGCAGUAUAUGGAUUCAUAGAAAUACAUAGAGAAAUUGCUAAUUUCUAGAAGAAAAUAAAAGGCAACAAUUUAACUGAAACAGACAGAUGAGAUGCAAGGAGCCCUGAGCCAAGAGCAGGUCUCCAGGGUUCUAGCCUUGCUUGAGCACCAGUGACCCUGUGACCUUGGAUGAGUCAGGCCUUAUUUCUGGGACUGGUUUCUUCAAUGAUAAAAGGGACUGCACUGAUGUGCUCUGAGUCCAGGGCUUUGCUGGGUGUCGGGUGUCCUGUGACCCAGGGGAUGUGUUCUGAGGACAGCAUGGUGAAGACGGAAGGUUGGCGUACCCGGCAGAUCUGAGAAGCGGUAGAGUGUGAAGGAAAGCCCUAGAGGUUCUUCUAGAAUGUUCCUCCAGUGAGGCUGAGACUCCUUUCCUCCUCCAUAUAGCUAGAGUAACGGGAGUAAGUCUGUGGCCUGCACUCUGACCCCAGGCCCUGUCUAGGCCAUGACUGCUGCCAUCUGGGCUCUUACGGCACUAGUACCGAAGAGAUCCAGAAGGGCCUAACUUCUGCUUGGGUUCACUUUGUGCGGCUGCCUGUUGCCCAUCUCUGAGAUGACGCAGCCAUCCUCCCCCAUCCCUCAGGGGUCUGAGCAGCAGUGGGCAGGAGGCACUGGCACUGUCCAUGUGAGGAGGCGGUUUUCCCCUGGGGUCCCUCCUUCACUGACUGCUGACCGCAGAAACUGCUUCUUCUCUCCCACGGAUGAGUCCCACGCCUGCCCUCCCUACCCGGCAGGAAGAGCACCUUGUAUUGGAUGGAGCCUGACAUGGCAGGAAUUUGGAGAUGGACCCUUGGUUCCCAACCCCAAAGACAGGCUUCACCGGGAGAGGGAAUCUGGAUGGCUGCAUUCAGUGGUCUCCCAGCUGCUGCUCUAGGAAGUCCACCAUUCAUCCUGAAGGUUACUGCUGUGACUGGGCUGACAGCUCCCCAAAACCAAGAACCAGAGUCUUCUCUGGGAAUGAGCCUGCUGUAGCUUCCGCACACAGGAAGAACAGUGGUUGUCACUGCCGCCUAAUCCUAAAAGCUUCAGAGUACACGUUGCUAACCAAUCCAGGACCAGGGAGUCUGGCUUUCUCUGGACCCCCAGGCCAGCUCUGGAAUAGUGAGGGCCCACAAUGCUAGAGUUGCAGUAUAGGCCCCUUUUCUAGAUUCCUGUGGGGUCAGAACCUUGCAAGGAAAGCAGACUAUCCACAGGGAGGGUGAACUAGGAGUUGCCCAGAGCAGCCUUACAUCAAAGAAGACAUUUCAGAAGCAGGAGCCUUGUAACUUGGGCAUUCUGGGCCUGGUAGAAGCACCCAGGGGCUGGAGUUCAAGGGUCAGCUCCUUCCCUGCUGGGGCAGCCUCUCCCCUCUCUCAGCUCAUCCCUGCAUUCCAUCUGAGGGGCGGGAGGAAUGCCAGCGGGGGAGAUGGCAGGACCUAGACACAUCCUCAGGACUCUCCCAGCCUCCCUUGCCAUGGCAACGCUGCUAUUUUUAUCCUGUUGUUCAUGAUGCUCAGAGCUCUGACUUUCUCUGUUCCAGAGAGCCCAGCUGCCUUCUGCCCUCACCCCUAAGCAUAGCACCUUCUCACAGAGGCCCGAGGAGGGGAAGGGAUGCUGGGGAACGGGGGGCACAUUUAAGUCAUCCCCUAACCAAAAUUUGGUUUGCUGGCUUAAACAACCGGUUUUGUGUUUCCUGAGAGGUCAGAGCUAUGCUCCACCUGGGUAAUCACCAUCAGGCUCUCUGUGACCAAGGCAUGCACUGCUGCCUGUAUUGGGGACACCCAGUGUUCUGAGGAAUGUCCUGUUGGCAUAUGCAGUACAUAAAGAACUCUGCUUGACUGGUUACAGCAGUCAGAUAACUUGAUGUUGCUGUGGAAUUUAAAUGACUUCUCUUCUGUCCCUCUACCAAAGAGCUAGGACGAAUGCAUUUAUGGCUUUGUCUAGUCAUCCUACCCAAAGCAAGACAGCGUGUAUCCCCGAGCUAGAAAGAAGACUCCCUUUAAUUUAGUCAUAGUCCCUUUAGGAAAUUGAGGUUCCACCUCCAUUCCCUUGCAAGGUGCUGGAGAUGAAGCCCAAGACCUCAGGUCCACUAGACAAAUGUUCUCCAGCUGAGCUGUGCCUCCAGCCUGUAGCGCAAUGAUGCUCUUAACCGCAAGCACUUAGUGAAAGGUUUUCUUAGCUGUUCCUUCUGCCUCUCCUCCAAGGCCCGGUCUUUAAUUGUCUUCCUGUGUCCCAAAUUCCACCACAGUGGCAGGGAAUCCCUGAGAAUCAUUGGUGCUAAUGGUCUCCAUCUAUAUGCUUCUAUGUCAAUCAGUGAGAUGUGAGCUCAGCAUGUGGGGUGGCUGGGUUAUGGGGUACAUUCUAUGUGUGUCCCCAACACCUUGACCCUGGAAACAGGUCCAGAUCUUAACCCAGCAGGCAGAAAUCUGAAUCUUGUUAACCUCUGCUUCAGUUGAGCUGACUCCUGAGUGGUUCUUUUUCUUAGUGUGACCGAUACCCAUUUACUAAGCCUCGUUGGUUUCAUUUUGGCCCUAGUUGCACGGUUUCCAAAAUCUAUGCAUCUGGAGUAAGCACUUUUCUGGUUACCACUGAAAAGCAUGCUGGCAGAUUCUGCUCUGAUAAUUGCUGUAAUAAACACACUUUAUUACGUC
Molecule: long non-coding RNA, 5281 nt
Organism: Mesocricetus auratus (golden hamster)
Lineage: Eukaryota; Metazoa; Chordata; Mammalia; Rodentia; Cricetidae
Exons: 2
Source: RefSeq, a predicted model, not a curated record